CAACAAAGCAAGUGCUCACAUAAGCUGCUGAAGUCUUAAAUGGAGAGCAGAGAUAGCUGGAGUCCUGUGGGUACUUUAAGGGAGUUUCAGGUGUGAGCUCUACAUUAUGCUGAGAUGGCUAUGUACAAGUAUAUCCAGAAUGACGGUGGAUACGUUGAAAGUCCAAUCAACUGUGCUAAAUCUUGAAUCAGUUCUCUCUGUUGCCUUUUGCAGGUUGUUUAAGUUUUGUAUAGAAGUGGAUAUUUUGAACAUUGAAACUGCACAAGGGCUUUAUGGUUGCUCUGCUCACCUCUAUUUCUUCUUCUCCUGCUAGGAAACCCCAUUAUCCUCAGAACAAGUCUCUCCACCUCCUGCUCUUGCCUGAUGCUGUAUGGCUCUGAUGGCUUGUCCUGUGUCCCCUUAGCCCAGGUGCUAAGUGGUCUCUGUUCCCUUAAAAUAACUGUUUUGGGAUGUUAUGGGUCCUGUUUUAAAAAUCCCCUCAUCCCUCUUCUUUUCUCUCUUCUAAAGGGCAGCCUUACCAUCUCCUUUUAAGAACAGAAGUCUUUUCUUUCUGCCUCUUAAAGUCAGUAGCUGGUUUGUCACCCAAUAACAAAAGCCCACAAUAUCCUGACCUCAAAGACUAGGAAGGUAGGUGGUGCUAAGGUCAGGGAUUGGGAGUCUUAGAGAGCCAGCAACACAGUGUCAUCUCUCUGAAAAGUAAAUUUCCAGUAGCUAGCAAGAGAUUUACAAAUGCUGAAAUCUCUUAGUCUACUAAUUCCUUUCAUACAAUCAAAGAUAUGUGCAAAGAUUUAUGUUC
This 796-nucleotide long non-coding RNA is filed under the name Homo sapiens (human). RNAcentral describes it as "non-protein coding lnc-CCR8-1:1". The record is from RNAcentral. Lineage: Eukaryota; Metazoa; Chordata; Mammalia; Primates; Hominidae.